GUUUGUUUUUUUUUUUUUUUUUUUCCCCUGUUUGUUUUCUUUUUUUUUUUCUUUUCUUCUAUCUGGACAGGAAAAAUUGUUCUUCUAGAGAGAGAAAAGUCUAAGCUGUAUUUCUUUUUGAGAUGAAAGAGAGAGUAGGUAAGUGGUAUUGUAAAUGGGAAGGAGUGAAAGGAUAAAAUCGUCUUUUGAGGUGAAUUAUAAUGUGGACCAUUUUCUGUCUUUUUAUUCCUUUAAAUUAUUGUUAAUUAAGGCCAAUAUUGAUAAGGAGGCAAGCCAAAGGACGGUCACGGCGCUUCUUCUUUCAUUUAUUACGUUGAAGCAAUCUGGAUCUGACUGCUGCAAACGGCGGAGAUGGAUUUCCGGCGGAGUCACGAGGAAGUAACAAAAGUGCUGGUGGAGUACAGGCUGGCGAUUUAAUUACAGUCGGACCCAAUUUGACAAAGGUAAUGGAUGCUCCAAUUUGUAUUUUUAUUUAUUAUGACGUAAUUGCCCAUCUGAGAUGCUUGCAAUUUCAAAAUGCCAUUCACCCAUUCGCUAGAGAGGGUAUUUAAACCUGAAUUCUAAAUAUAAUAAUUUCAGGUAUUGUUACCUUUAUUUAAUAUUUCAUUUUUUUAAAAAAUAAUUCAAGGGAAACUCUUAUCUUUUGAGUAAAAAGCAACAAGACGCUGAUCUUAUGAUUAAUGAAUUUACGGCCGUCGGAUGCCUUGAGGUAUCUGA
This 717-nucleotide long non-coding RNA is filed under the name Jatropha curcas. RNAcentral describes it as "long non-coding RNA (JCUR_LNC002961)". The record is from RNAcentral. Lineage: Eukaryota; Viridiplantae; Streptophyta; Magnoliopsida; Malpighiales; Euphorbiaceae.